Molecule: ribosomal RNA, 602 nt
Filed under: Pseudomonas kilonensis
Lineage: Bacteria; Pseudomonadati; Pseudomonadota; Gammaproteobacteria; Pseudomonadales; Pseudomonadaceae
Description: bacterial SSU rRNA
Rfam family: Bacterial small subunit ribosomal RNA
Source: RNAcentral
AAGGUGCUUGCACCUCUUGAGAGCGGCGGACGGGUGAGUAAUGCCUAGGAAUCUGCCUGGUAGUGGGGGAUAACGCUCGGAAACGGACGCUAAUACCGCAUACGUCCUACGGGAGAAAGCAGGGGACCUUCGGGCCUUGCGCUAUCAGAUGAGCCUAGGUCGGAUUAGCUAGUUGGUGAGGUAAUGGCUCACCAAGGCGACGAUCCGUAACUGGUCUGAGAGGAUGAUCAGUCACACUGGAACUGAGACACGGUCCAGACUCCUACGGGAGGCAGCAGUGGGGAAUAUUGGACAAUGGGCGAAAGCCUGAUCCAGCCAUGCCGCGUGUGUGAAGAAGGUCUUCGGAUUGUAAAGCACUUUAAGUUGGGAGGAAGGGCAUUAACCUAAUACGUUAGUGUUUUGACGUUACCGACAGAAUAAGCACCGGCUAACUCUGUGCCAGCAGCCGCGGUAAUACAGAGGGUGCAAGCGUUAAUCGGAAUUACUGGGCGUAAAGCGCGCGUAGGUGGUUCGUUAAGUUGGAUGUGAAAGCCCCGGGCUCAACCUGGGAACUGCAUUCAAAACUGUCGAGCUAGAGUAUGGUAGAGGGUGGUGGAAUUUCC